Molecule: long non-coding RNA, 6850 nt
Organism: Pseudopipra pipra
Lineage: Eukaryota; Metazoa; Chordata; Aves; Passeriformes; Pipridae
Exons: 3
Source: RefSeq, a predicted model, not a curated record
UUUCCGAUGGAUUCUGAGAGGUUUUGGAAGAACUUAACCCAGAAUAUAUGAACAAGGACUACAGGAUGUUAUAGUGAAGUUUUAUAAACCUAAGGAUGAAGACUGUGUCUUCUGUGUUGGGAUUUUUUUGAACCACCCUAUUGAAUUUGAGAGCAGGAAUCAAAUUUUUUAUUAAAUUCUAGACAUGUACAUAAAAAUCUAUAAAAAGAUAUCACUUUUUAUUAAAUUCUGAAGUUUUUGCAAAAAGGAAAAUGAGGAACCGGUUAUCAGAGGAUAUAUAACAAAAGCAAAGUGAAAAAAAUGAAGUGAAAGUCUUGAGAAAUAUUUCUGUAGAAGGCAGAAAAAUAUUCUUAUGCUGAGUUAACGUCAAGUAACCUUUUUUUCUUAUGGAAUAAAAGACCAUUAUUCUUUCAUUGUUGGGUGACUGCUUCAUUAAAUAUAGUGCUGACAUAAUUUUGUUUCAGCAUGACUGGUGGAAAAUGUCUGCAACACAGCAGAAAUUAACAUCUCUCAUCCAUCUUAUUCCAUAUCUAUCUUUUCAAUAAUCUACUUAUUUGUGACACUCACUCUGUUGGGUUUUUUUUAAUCUGCUUAGAUGGUACACUGCAAGGAACAAGGUCUGUUUUUCGGUUUGUUUAUAUACAGUGAGUAACUCAAUGGUUCACUGGAAAUUUUAAGAUGCUUUUGAAAUAGUGACUAAUAAUAAUUAAUAAUGUUUUGAAAUGAAAUUAUUUCCUAAUUUUUUUCACGUUUUUUCUUCUUACAGCUAUAUCUGGUAUGUUUAAUUCUUUUUAAGUUUCCUGUUGCACACAAUGUGCAAAGAUACAAUGUGGUAGCCAUUAGUAUGUUUGGCCACAUAAGAAGUAAUACAAGUGUAAAUAGAGAUCUGUCUGUGUAAUUUUUUUCUUAGGAAAUGGAAUACUGUCUGUUUUAACUGCUCUUUUAUUUACUUUAUAAUUUGUUUAUUUUAUUUUGUUUUCUUCCCUGAUUUCAGCAAGCACUGGUCUGGCUAAUUUCUAUUCAAUGUUUUUAAAUCUGAGUUUCCAUUGUACCUGGGAACAGGUGGGAAGUGGAAGCCACUGUUUGAUACUAUUUCCAACCUCACAUUUCAGAAAGGCUGGAGCUAAGUCAAGAUAUCAGAUGUCAAUUACCAAGUGUAGGCUAAGAUGGAAAGAUGUAGCAGGAGGAGAAGGAGCACAGGUGGCAUGAGCUCACAAGCACAGAAGGGAUGCCUGCAACCCAGACCACUGGGCAUGUGAACAUGUGACACCUUACCAUCCUCUCAGUCUGUCUUUCUCCUUGGCUUUAAAUGCAGAGGCCAGAGAGGUAAAGUAAAUGCUUUGCACUGAAAAUCUUGACUGCAUCAAGCCAUGAAAAGGAGGCUCAAUGAGCCUCCACCUCUCCUUGUCAUGUAUUGCAUUGACUGGAUGAAGUUCUGAGAGGGGAGUUUUAUACCAGAGACAUCAGCUCUGUGUAAAUUAGUAUCUGUGUCUUCUUGGGGGAAUUUUGUGUAAGAUUAUUUGUUUAUUCUGUUGUCUCAUCUGGUCCAGCUAUGGACCAGCUACAAACCAACCUUGGUAUUAUACAAUCCAACCAGAUGAGAAGUGUUACUCACCAAUACAGAUGAUCUCAUUAAAGAGGCAAAAAAUGGAGGCAGCCUGGGCUCUAGCGACCAUAUCUGGGUUGAGUUUGUUAUCUUGAGGAAUCUGGACCUGGAGCAGGUCUAAAGUUCAGGACUCUGAACUUCAGAACAGCAAACUUGCAGUUAUCUAAAGAAUUAGUGGAUGACAUCCCCUGGGAAACUGUCUUUAGGGACACAGGAGCUUACCAGAGCUGGCAACUCUUUAAGGCCAAUUUUCUGAGAGUGUAAGAGCUUUCCAUCCUGAUGUAUAGGAAAUCAAGCAAGGCAGGCUGGAAACCAGCAUGGCUGAGUAAGGAUCUCCUCAUUAAACUGAGGACUAAAAAGGAAAUGCACAGCUAGUGGAAGCAGGAACGUUUUGCUUUGAUUGGCCCUUUUUUUGUUUUCCUAAAUAAGUUAGCAAUUAGAGUUUAGACGACAGUUACUCAGUUAAUGUUUACCUAUGUCACCUAUUUAAACUAGUCAUGCUAAAGGACUAAAUUUUCCUCUCUCAGAUUUAACUAAGCCUAAGUAAACAGCCAGCCUAAGUAAACACUUUGCCCAGGAACUGAAAAACAGUGUCUGGAUUCAUGGGUUUGAUUUCACUGAAGGAUGAUUAAAGUGAAAUUGGACUAGAAAGAGGAGUCAGUAAAGCAGAACUUUUCAUCUUUAGAAAGCAUUUAAAAAAUAAUUCCCUAUAUGCUUCCUCAACUAUAGGGCUCUUUCCUUCCAAAUUUAGUUAUGUGCUUACAUUUCCAAAGGUAAGGGGAAAACUGUGGAAAAAAUGCAUUUCCUAAUACUUAAAUAGUAUCUCUGAAUAUAUAAUAGCGCAAGGAAAUGCUUUCACCUAAAAAUUCCACUGUAUUUGUCCUUUUUUCAGUAACUUCCUUUUCAGCCCAGACACAAAUUUAAAUCCUUGACAUAGGCUUUAGUUUUCAUGGCAAAAGAUACACAGGGAGAAGAUAACUUUAUAAUCUGUAGAAAAGCACAUGCUUGUUUGCCUGGGCAAACAUCCCAUGUUUCCCAUCCAGUUUAUUUACUAAGAAGGCCUUAAGCAAUGUCAGUAUAGAUGACAAUAGAAUAAGAACACUCCAAUGCAUAGCAGCACUUGAUCAAUAAGUGUGUGCAGAGACAUUGGGACAAUAUUAGCUUUUCUGCUGGCUGCUAAUAUAAAGAGUUUAUGCAUAGGAGCUCACAUGUAAUGGCCCAAAGACAUAAAGUAGAAGCCUCAGCUAAUAGAAAGAAUUAUUAGUUACAGCAGAGGUCCAGUUUUCAGGGUUAAAAAAUGCUUCUAGUUUCAUUUACCAUGAAAGGAAUUUGGAGAGGACAGGAAAGGGCAGCUGAUGAUGUAUGAUGAUAAACACACAUGGGGGAGAAUGCAAAAAAUGUUAACAUUGUAAAAGGAGAAUGGAUUAAAAGAACAAGUUGUUGUUUUUUCUCUACAUGUUCCAGUAUAAGAGGAGGAUAUAAUUUUUAUUAAAUUAAGGAGUACUGAUCUGAUUUUCCUUGUUCAGAAAUCAAGGUCAGGAAAAUAUUGCUGAAUAUUACAUGGAGCAUGAAUAUUGGACGAAAAGCGAAAAGGACCUGCUGUUGUACAGUCAUGUUAGUCUCUGACUGGGUAUCUCUAGAUGGAAAUUUUGCCAUAGAAGUCUCUCUGACUGCAAUUACUAAUAUAAUUUCCCCCUCCUAUGAGAAAUAAAUAAUCUGGUUUUAUUAUAAGCAAAUUGAAUUUAGUGGGAAAACAAAGGGUGGUGGGAUAUUUUUCUCUUCUUUCAUUUAAUUCCAAGAGUUUUUAGGUGCCUCGUGGAGACUGUAAGGUGAAAGGCCCCGUCUGGGCCUGAUGCCAGGAAAAUGUCACAAUCGGGACAGGGAAGAAAAUAUAUAAAACCAGAAAAUAUACCCUGGCCACAUGGCCGGCCUUUGUGUGCGGACAGACCCCCCCGUAUGUACAAGGGGGUAGUCAUCAAUCAAUCAGGAGGGAGGGUGACACCCCCUCCUGAAUUCAAAAAAUUACCUUUUAAGGUAAAAUACCUGUUACCUGUUGAAUAUUUAACAUCUUAAGUGGCCAAGAGGGUACAAAAAGGGCACGUUUUUCAAACCACAUGUGCUUUUCCAUGCCAUGUGACUUGGGAUUGCACCCAGUGCUGCAAUAAAGGAUUUCUUGCUGCAAUUUUCCUUGUCCUGCAAGUAUUUUUUGCCAUUUCAUAAAUUGAAAGCAAGGAUUUUUGUUACACUCCCCAAGCUCUGCAAGGUUAUAUGUAACUUCUCUGAUAUUUGUAAAGAAGUUAUAUAUAAAAAUUUUUUCCCUCAAUCACUAUAUACUACCCUUUGAGAGGAGGAAAAAGAGAACUUUGUGCUCAAUGACUUCCUUUUCAAGGAUUCUUUUACAUUAAGCUUAAACAAAGCAGUUAUGCAACCUGGAAAGAAUUACAUUUCAGGAAGUCCGGAGUUCUGGAAGUGCUACCCAGCCAGGCAUGAGCUAAGCAGGCAAAGCUAUCUAAAUGCUUCUCAUGGGUCUCCUUUUACAGUGUUCAGUCAGACAGACAGAAGCCCAGCAAAAGCAAACCAUCCCAAAAACAGUCUCCCUCUCCCCAAGAGCAACAAACCACAACCGAAAGAGAUAUGGCAACAUGAAGUAGCAUUGUAAUAAAUCAGUGACUUUGCAGUAAUUAAGCAUCUUCUUGAAAGCUUUGCAGGCCUCCAUGCACAAGCUUGAGACUUUUUUAAAUAUUUGAUUAUAUGAGGAAGGCGUACAUACGACUUAUAGACACAGUGAAGGAGGGAUGAGUAUGUGUUAGAAGACUUUAUAAAAAAUAUAACUCUGGAAAGGAUAUUAGAAAUUAAAUCCUAAUGCACUAGGGGAAGGAACAUCUGUUUUAAAAAUCUGAUUUCUAAGGUGAUGAAGUUGAAUGUAAUUUUUGCUUUGUUGUAAAACAUGUGUGAAGGAUCUUUCUGUCAGAUCAAACAUAUCCUUUCAGGGUGCCAAGAUCCCUUGUAGCAUCAUCAUCCUCAGCUAUUUUAAAGCAGAACACCUCCCCCUGCCCUCCCCUUUCCUACACAUGCACACACAUGCUUGUACACCUGCUGCCUUGUAAGGAAAAACUGCUUUUGCAUUGACAUAUCAGCCAGGAUAAGGUAUUUUAUACGCAUAUCUGUAACAAAACUGAAAUACUGCUUACUUUCAUUUUCUGAACUGGUUCAUCACAGCUCCAGAUAGUCAGGACUACAAAUUUGUGGGGUUAUUUUUCAGAGACCUCUUUUUGAGUGUGUUUGAAAAGUCUUAGGGAAUUGUGUGAGUCAGGCACAGAACAGCAUUAAAGCAAUUUGAUGAAAUUCAAUGACGUCUCAGUUUAAAUAAUUCUUCAUAAAACAAGCACAGAAUCCAUUGUCUUAAGGAUCUGUAUAAGUUCCUUUUAAGGAAAGACUGCAUUGUCCAGAACUGUGCAUGACUUCAGGAAGAAGAAGACAUACAGCUUAUAGCCUCAGGGGUCUCAGCUUUCUCAGUUUUCUUCCCAUGAUGAAAAUAUCUCGUGAUACAGGUUCUUUACAAGGCCUUAUAUGAGCCUUAUAUGAAUACACAAAAGAAGACACAGGUUUCUUCUUCUUAAAGAAGAUGCAGGUUUCCCUGUGUCAUAGAUUUACUUGUUCUAAAAAACCAAACAUAAAUUUUUCUUUCUCCUGCCCUACUGUAAAAGAAAGAUGUUGAAUGGGGGAGGGUGUUUUUACCUUGGGUGAUUGAUCUACACAAAAAACCUAACUGACAGAACUGCAUUCCAAGCUGAUGUCCCUCUCUAAGGCUAUGGGGAGGUGAUGAGUUUUUUUCCUCCUCUCCUUGGAAACACUUCACUUUUGCCUUCGCUAGGGCAGCGUGUGUGUUGGACAGGUUUCGGGGUUGUUUAGUUCUCGGCCUGGUCAUCUGGCUGUUUUUUGGCCCCAGCUUGUCUGCGCUUUGUUCUGCCCCCAGCCCGGACCUAAUCAGAAAGGUCUGACUCAUCUGCAGAGGAACUUUCUGAGGAGGAGGAUGCCCUUUUCUCUCUUUGGCAGCGCUGUGUGCUCAUGGAGAAAGGGGGGGAAUCCCGGCCACAGCCAGCCGCAGACAGUGUGAGUUUUGUGGGAAGAACCUGCCUUCUUUCCCCUUUUCCUCCUUCCCCUUCUUGGGGUUGGGGGGGGGAAGGGGGUGGAAGAUCUCAAUUUUUUGGCUUCUCCCGCACACCAGGCCCCCACACGGCGACUGCCAGAGCCCAACAGCGCCCCCUGCCGACCAGCACCGAGCAACUGCAGGGUCUGCUCCUCCAGUGAUCCAACAGCGCCCCCUGCUGGUCGUGGUUGGAAUUGCGCCAGAAAAGCAGAAAGUUGUCAGAUCAGCCCUGUGGACCUUGUCCUCUGCUGUUGCUGCCUGUUCUGCCAAGACAUGGUUUGGAGAUGUGAUGCUGAAAAGCGGCGAAUGUGACUCCAAGAUGUGGUGCUGAGAAAGGGGUGAAAGUGGCUGAGCCCAAUGAAGCUGAUGCAGCAGAGCCCGAACCCCAGCACAACGGAAUGGCGGCAUGGUGCCAUGCAGAUGAUCUAGCUGUCAGGGUUUUGUCCGUCAUUGUUUUCCAUCACCUCGGGCUCAGGGAUGGGGAGUGCCUGCCAUCUUGUCUUUGUUCUGGAAGCCACGUGGAACUAAGUUGAGGUGGUGAGCAGCUUUUGUGUGUAAAGCACCUUCUCUUUUUGUAUACUUUUGUUAUUAAUAUUGCUGCUGUUAUAGUGCAUUUCUUAUUCCAUUGCUGUUUGCUUUCAGUAAAUUGUUAUCUCAACCAAUAGUCUCUGCUGUUGUCCCUCUCUUUCCAGAGGGGACAGGGGGAAGGGGAGUGGCUUGUUUGGAGUUUAAUUUCCAGCUGGUGUUAAAACCACCACACAGGACCAGAGGCAAUAGCACAAAGUGAAACACAGGAGGUUCCCUCUGAACAUUAGGAAACACUAUUUUCCUGUAAGGGUGACCAAGAACUGUCACAGGUUGCCCAGAGAGGUGCUGGACUCUCCAUCCUUGGAGAUAUUCAAAAGCUUUCUGGAUGUGGUCCUGGGCAAUUGGUGCCCCUGCUUGACGAAAGAGGUUGGACCAGAUGACCUCCAGAGGUUCUUUCCAUUUUCAACCACACUGUGAUUCUGUGAUGUUAAUAUUUAUUGAUUAUUAUACUGAGUCUGGAAUUUACUCUGGAAAUAUUAAACCUGAUAAACCUAGUUUUCCCUCAA